CUGGAGUUGAAAGGCAAUAAUUUUCUUCCUCUCUGUCAUCACCAAUUUAUUACCAUGAACUCUGGUGCAAUGGAAAAUUAUUACCUCUUUAUAGAUUUCAGCAAUUUAAAACAGGAAGAAUUUAGUUUGAGCCUUUGAGGAUCUAACACUGCAUCUCUUUCCUGUCCUUAGCUGCCUUCUUUCAGGUCAGCUGCCUCUGAUGCCCAACAGGCCAGCAACAGGAUAGGAUUUGGAGAAACCAUGAGAGCCCCAGUUUCCUGAGCCUCAUUUGUGGUUGUGGCAGACGAUUGAGAAGAGGAAGUAUGAAUUGCAGUGAGAUGCAGUGGGAAAGAAAGAAUUCAUACCAUCAGGAUGACCUCUGCUGUUGAUGUAUUCUUGCCUACACAGGUCAAGAUUAAUAAAGAAAAUACAAUGUAAGAAGAAGGAGAAUCAGCAACAAAAGUGGUUACUGUCUUUCUUCAAUGAAUACAGCAAUUUCAGAAAGAAUCGCCUCUUUCUUCAUGGUGUGCCAGAACGUUGGUACUUCUGGAGGGCGACUUGA
Molecule: long non-coding RNA, 541 nt
Filed under: Sus scrofa (pig)
Lineage: Eukaryota; Metazoa; Chordata; Mammalia; Artiodactyla; Suidae
Description: lncRNA (ENSSSCG00035010677.1, ENSSSCG00055025266.1)
Source: RNAcentral